Molecule: long non-coding RNA, 213 nt
Filed under: Capsicum annuum
Lineage: Eukaryota; Viridiplantae; Streptophyta; Magnoliopsida; Solanales; Solanaceae
Description: long non-coding RNA (CANN_LNC011352)
Source: RNAcentral
CAAUCGCUAACCAUCUCUGAAUACUAUAUCUCCAUGUGAUAUAGGGACUAGAUCUUCUUCUUCUUUUCCUGUGCAGUGACUAGGUAUUCGAUUGGUAAGUGAGUUGACAUUGAAGUAGUGACUUUCCAUUGUUUGAAAGGCAUUUAUUUCAUGAUCUUUUAAUCUAUGACAUAGACUUUGUUAGACUUGGAUUACUAUUGACUUGUAUAUGAU